Molecule: ribosomal RNA, 277 nt
Filed under: uncultured bacterium
Lineage: Bacteria
Description: partial 16S ribosomal RNA
Rfam family: Bacterial small subunit ribosomal RNA
Source: RNAcentral
AACGCUGGCGGCACGCCUAACACAUGCAAGUCGAGCGCUACUUCGGUAGAGCGGCGAACGGCUGAGUAACACGUUGGAACCUACCCCAGACUCAGGGAUAACCCCGCGAAAGCGGGGCUAAUACCGGAUGGUCUCGUAAGAGUAAAGCUUUUGCGGUCUGGGAGGGGCCUGCGGCCUAUCAGUUUGUUGGUGAGGUAAUAGCUCACCAAGACUAUGACGGGUAACUGGUCUGAGAGGACGACCAGUCAGAAUGGGACUGAGACACGGCCCAUACUCC